This is a long non-coding RNA of Lolium rigidum, 139 nucleotides long. RefSeq lists it as uncharacterized. The record is from RefSeq and is a predicted model, not a curated record. NCBI's taxonomy places the organism in Eukaryota, Viridiplantae, Streptophyta, Magnoliopsida, Poales, Poaceae. The transcript is spliced from 3 exons.
AGUUUUCAGGAUCUUAGUCUAAGCACUUCUACGAUAUUACCAUAACAACUGUCAGGUGGCAGAUGUUGAAUUCAAUAUAGCCAGUGAGAAGUUCAUGCUAAAAAGGUGUACGGGCUCUACAUGUGAAUGAGUUCUGAUG